Molecule: long non-coding RNA, 23179 nt
Filed under: Malus domestica (apple)
Lineage: Eukaryota; Viridiplantae; Streptophyta; Magnoliopsida; Rosales; Rosaceae
Description: long non-coding RNA (MDOM_LNC007870)
Source: RNAcentral
AAUCAUGUUUAUAAAUGUUAGAUUAUGUUGGCGCGAAACACUUACAAACCCUUGAUUAAUACUGUUAUAAGGGGCAUUUAUUGCAUCGUAUUAUCUCAGACUUGACUAGCUUGCUUGGUUUGGACUUAAGCAUGAUAAGAAUAGGGGCUCAAAAAAUUAAUUUCAAUUUUCUUUUAGUUUUUUUACUUCUCCCUCCACCAGUUACACACCUCACUCAAUAAAAUGUCCUACGAACACCAGAACUUCACUAUGCACUACGUGCAACGAACAUAAUUAUAUUUUCCACUUUGUAAUUGUGCAGAGACUUUCAUAAUUUUCUUUCAAAUUAACACUACCAAUCUUUAUUAGAACCAAAAAAUGGAAAAACUUAUUGAUUUGCACAAUUUACUAGAUUUUAAAAUUGCCAGAUACUUUUUAUGAAGGGAAAAAAAAACAAACUUUAACGAAAAGCAUUCGGUACUGUUCACUUUAACGAAAAACCACAUUUUUGCCCUAAAAAAUCAAUCCUGGUACUAUUCACUUUAUCAUUUAUUUUGUCCUUAUCAUUAAAACUCAAAGUUUUCAAGUCUCUUUCAUUAGUUUUCUUAAAAAAAAAUUAUGCGUGAACAACACUUCUCACAAAAAAAAAAAAUAAUGAAAUAUAUAAAUACAUACCAAAGUAAAUGUUUGCACACACUAACAUGCAAUAUAUGCAGUUUUUCAUUUUGUCAAACAAAUACAACAUAGCACAUUAAAGACAUUUUGUAAAUCCUAUGGGUUGGUUAAUAUGGGCAACAACCUUGGGUUUGGUUGUCAAGUACUUAGCAGGAUCUUCGAAAUUGUUCCAUAACACUGCUCCGAAAUUGCAUUCUUUAAUCCCUGCUUGCAAAUGCAAAAGUGGUUAUCAAUCGCUCCCUACUACUGUAAAAGGGAGAUAAUGAUAGAACUAAUUCAAUGUGAAAAACUAUAAGCUUCAAUGAAAUCAAAUGACAGGAGAAAAUUAAUGCAAGUCACCACUUCUUGAGGAUGAAGAGGGAGAGCAUCGAUGAAUAUUUUACUUCAAAUUAAGGGAUUUCUUCUAAGGAGGUUUAUAGGGUUACCUAUUUGCAAGAUGACAUUUAUGUAAACCUGUGUGGAUAACGGAGAACAUGUAGUUAAUAUAUUAUAGUUGAGAAAAGCUAUCUUUCUUCUUGUAGUUCAUUUGUAAAUUUAUAAGAAUACCUCAUGUUUAUGUAUUACCAUCACCCAGCUUUAAACCAUAUAAACAUGUGUGGAUGACUGAUUUUGUAACGUAAAAGAUAGAAAAUCAAGAUGACAUUUAGAAGUCAAGAUAAGUAGGAAAGGGAUGCAAAAAAGAAGUGGGAAAGGGAUGCAAGAUAAGUGGAAGUCACAAAGCGGAUAGCUUUUCAUAUGGCCUCAAGGUUGAUAAAUUUACAAUGGUUAAGGAUGCAAAUCCGAUAUCUCCAUAAGUUUGAGUCAGUAGAGGCACUUGAAAAUAGAAUGAUAAGAUGGUAACUUCAUUCUGGUUAAUCGAAUGUUUUAGCUAGCAGCAAGUGGGUCAAGGCUCGAUGCCAAAGUCAUAAACUAUGGUUUUAAAGCACAUUUCAGCCACCAAAACCCAGAGUACUCAUGUCAAAUAUUAACAGCCAAAAUCCUGAGUACACACGAUAAACUAUAAUUCAUUAAUGGGAAUGAAACAUCUGAGAAAAUGUGAACUCAACAACCAAAACCCAGUGUACCCAUGUCAAAUAUUAACAACAAAGGAAUUUAUGUAUGUAUGUCAGGAAUCAAACAAAAAAUUAUCACCCAAAAUAAAAAUCAAUCAGGGGUGCUUUAUGUAAUAGGAAGCCCAGAACCACUGUUCUAAGUGUUAGGCGGUUGGCCACCACCCCGAUUAAUGCCUAGACAUUUGAAAAUUAAGAAAGGGCGUAUUGACUUGUUGAGGCACCCUCCUAGACCGCCUCGAGACCCGCCUAGACCGCCUAACCCGUCUAGAUCUGCCUAGGCAUCCGCCUAGGUCACAACUCACUUAAACAGAAAAUAGAUCACUUUCAUUUUGCAUUUUAUUUUUCAAUAAAUUGUAAGAGACUUGUUGCAUACUUAAAUGAACACACAUUAUAUCCUUGUUCCCCAUGAUUUCAUUAUGUUUCAAUACUUCAUAAUGUAUAUGUCAUUCUAUUUUGUAGUUUAUGAUGAAAUUAUAUAUAUUUUAAAUAUAAAUACGUACUUAUUUACACGAAAUAUAAUAGAUUUUACUUAAAUCCGCCUAGUCCGCCUAGGCCCCGUCUAGCCGCCUAGGUUCUUGGUCCAAACCCGCCGCCCUACUAGCGCCUUUUAGAACCUUACCCAAAACAAAAUAAAAAAACGGCUAUAUGGGUUAUAGAUCAGAAAAUGGUGCUUUUGCAUGCUCAAAAGAUUGUUAAAAGGCCAUAAAAUGGUGAUUAUUAUGUAACCAAAUUGGAGAAUUUUGGAUAAGAUUAAACAACAAUAAGCAGGGAACAAAGAAAAAAUUGCAAUCAAUUUACAAAAACUUAGCAAUAAGUUCACAUAAGGAAAAAUAGCAGAUAAAUUGGGUAGCAAUCAAUUAAAAAGCGCACCCAAUCACAGAACACAAAUGUACACGCACCCAAUUUUUGUGCUAGAAAUUCAAAAUUUUUAGAGAUUUCGCAUGCAAACAAUGAAAUCAAUCAAAACCCAAUAAUAAUUACGAUCUGCAAAACAAAAUUGAAGAAAUUGAUUGUCAAAUUCAGAAUUUACCAAACAGGACGAGGAUGAAGGAGCGGGACGAGGAUGAGGGAGCAGAAUGAGCAUGACCAGGAUGGGUUAGCAGGACCAGGACGAGCGAGCAACUGUCUCGAAGAUGGUCGUAGCAAUCCGAUGAUAUUGGGGUUCUCGCUAAGAACUUCUAGUGAAGCAGUUUGUUGGAGCAAGUUUGACUUAAUCCCAUUAAACUUAAUUCUUCUGUCUAACAAACACAAGAUUACACUAACAAUUAGUCCUAUUCAGUUCAAUGAGAUCUAGUGAGCCUAAACAAACACACCCUAAGAGCUUAAUGUAGUAACAGUUGAGUCCCUUCCCCCUUUAAAGAAAAUUAAUGAAAAAUGCUUCAAAACUUUACAUUUUAAUAAAAAAUUAUUUAGUAACUUUAUUUAAUGAUAAAGAUAAAAAAAAUAAAAAAUUUAAACAUGCAUGUGCCUAGCCCGCGUCCCCCUCUCCCCCCCCCCCCAAUAUAACCAAAUAAGAAAAAGUAAAUGAAAACACACUACACAUACAUAUGAUAUUAUGUAUGAAUUAGCUAACUGUAACAACGAUGACACCUAUUUUUAGGCCUUUGACAAAAUAAGUUAACACAAACACACGUCUGGUGCUAUAAUCUCGUAAGUUUCACAAACAGUGUAGUACUAUUAAAUUUCAUAAACAAUGUUAAGUUUCAUAAACAGUAUAGUAAGUUUCAUAAACAAUGUGUAUGUAGACGCACGGUCCCCUGCGUUAGUUUUUUUUUUUUUUAAAUUAUGUCUUUUUCAUUAAAAUUUAAAGUUCUUUUGUCAUUUUUAUUAAAGUUUAAGAGUUUUUCAUUAAUAUUUAAGUAUUUUUUAUUAAAUAAAGUUAUAGCAUGAUUUUUUGUUAAAAUAAAUUUAAUCAAAUGCCUUUUCAUGAAAGUUCCCUUUCUUUAUUGUUUCAAAACCGAGUUUUAAGUAUUUUUUUUUUUCUAAUAUGAAUGAAGUUCUGAGGACCUUAUUCGUAGAGACGUCUCCGAACUGAUUAAAUGGCAGUUCAGUAAUUGACUAACUUUUAUGUAAUAUUUCAGCUGGUAGAAAGAAGCAAAUCCAACUCAUUGGUACUUGUCACUGGACAAUCUUUUGGAGGCGCUGUAGCUACCCUUUUCACCUUAUGGCUGCUAGAAAGCCUCGACUUAUCGAAAGUGAAACGUCCCCUUUGUAUCGCUUUUGGUUCACCUUUGAUCGGUGACAAACAAUUCGGACAAUGUGUGUUGCAAUUCCCAUUGUGGAGUUCUUGCUUCUUGAAUGUAGCCUCCAUCGAUGAUCCUGUACUUCAAUUCUUCCAAACCGCUUCGCAAGCGAGUGGUUAUAAGCCUUUCGGAACAUUCCUACUGUGCUCCUCUUCGGGUGGUUCUUGCUUUGAGGACCCUGAUGCCAUUUUGCAACUAUUGGUGGAAACCAGCUCUCGGUGUGCCCAAAAUCCAGGUCUGAAUUCAGGGAUUCAGUUGUUCGAUUACGGAAAGAUUUUGAAUGAUCUCAAGACUAAGGCAUUGUCUAGAGAUGUCUUUGAGUUGGUUGAAGAGGAUAGAGUUCCACUUAAAGCUGGAAUUAAAACACAGUUGGCAGCAAUAUUAGGAGUUCUCAGCUCACAGGUAUCAAACUUUCAACAGAAAUAUCUGAUUUGAUGAUGAUUUUGGGAAAUGGGUUCCGCACAAACCUGUUUAUUUCCAUCUCUUGAUUCUCCUUUGAUUUAUUUAAUCCAAAGACUAGAAAUAAACACGGGUGUGCAGGGGGGGAAUAUGAGAUUGCGGAAAUCACACCCCAUGUUUUGCUUCUAGCUACUAACUUUUCUCUCAACUACUUUUGUAAAAGUCAUUGCAGCAGCAACAACCCAACAUAGAAUUCGAAAGUCUGAUGAAAAAGAUGGUCACUCACGAACGUAAACUAGCGAUGCAGAAGACGAAGGUUUACAGUUCCUACUUGAAACUGAAUGAGAUGGAAAAGUACAUGGCCUACAUGGAAUGGUACAAGAUGUCGUCCGAAGACAUGGGAAUAGGAUACUAUGACAGGUACAGAAACAAGCGUUACGCGAGUGACAUUAUGGCCGAAGAGUACAAGAGGACGCUCUCAAGGUAUUGGCAUGACACGGUUACAGAAGCUGCGAACAAGCCCCGGCAAGAAGGAGCCGCAAUGCCAGCCCCUUUUCUUUUUGCUGGAACGAAUUACAGAAAGAUGAUCGAACCACUUUGCAUUGCAGAGUACUACAAGGAAGGUGGAAAAGAUUACAUAGAGGAAAGGCCUGGACAUUUCGUUCUUUUGGAGCAAUGGUACAAUGAAGAGGAGGAAAAUAAGAAGAAAGAGAGGGAAGAAAAGGAGAACCCACAACUGCGCAGCGCAAGCAAGCCCAAUUCAAAAGCGAAGAACGAGGCUCCUAAUCUGAAUGAUGAUUCUUGUUUUUGGGCGCACGUCGAGGAAGCGCUUAUCUGGUGCAACGAACAAGCGAGUAAUCCAGAUGCUAAGCCAAUGACCGAAUAUGAGCUUUACGUUCUGAAUAUGCUCGAGAAUUUCGCAGUUACGGUUGAUAUUUUCUUGAAAAAUAGCAGCUUCAUGCAUUGGUGGAACAAGUAUAAAGUAAUUGUGGGAAGCAACUACUCCUCAGCAUUUACCGAGGUCAUGAAGCGUAAGACUUAUCGCAAAUAUGCGGAUGGGGUCUCAGUUCGUACUGAUCAAUAAUCCAAUAUAAUUAAGUUUUAAGCAAGCAAUUAAAUCAGAUAAAGCAAGAUUAAUUUUGCUGUAUCGCUUAUGAUCUUCAUAGAGAGACGUGCAUUACUUGCAGGGCUUGUUGGUGCUACUAGUACUACUUUUGGAUAUUUUAAUUUGUUUGUGGUUUCUUUUUGUGUGGGGGUAAUGUUUCAAGGGGUAAAUCUCAGUUUAGUAUUCUUAAAUUUUGUGUUUUUCAACAUGUAGUACAUUAAGUUAUUUUUGUCUCCGAGUUAUACUUAAAUUGUUAAUUUUGGGACAGUCUCAUACAUCCGUUAGUCUGACUGUUAAGUCUCCCAUUAAUUGAUGAUGCGACGCCUAUGUGAACAAUAACUGGACGUCAUGUGUCAUUAAAAGGUUCACGUGGAAAUUCAAAAAAAAAAAAAAAAAAAAACCGAAAUUUCAAAAUUCAAAAUUUUAAAAUUUCAAAAAUUAAUAAAUUAAAAAAAGGUGGGGAUAAUUUCUUCCUCUAUCCCCGUCCCUUUUUCUCUCUUAUGCAAUUAUUGAGCUCUCCUUUGAAUCUCAGAUCCCCAGCAACCCUUGCCCUUGCGACCUUGUAACCCUUAGCAGAGGUUUGCAAACCUCGUAACCAUCGCCUUUUGUUACGAUCCAAUUCUCUAAACCCUUAAUCAACUGGCAAGUAACACAGAGGGUCGAGAGGAGGAGGGAAGGAGGAAGGUAGAAGGAGCGGAGCUCCAAUAUUUUUGUUUAUAUUUCUUUUUGUGUAAAUUCUCAUCUGAUUACAAUAGUGAGAGCUAGUGCUCUUGAGUCUUAUACAAGUCACAACUCAUCAUGCCAGCUAGCUAAUUAUAACAAACUUCACUAAAACAGGAAUAAGCCUAAUAAUCCCAAGAUUAAAACCCUUAAUAGUGAUUAAGCUAAUCACUAAUUACAGAUCAUAUCAUUACUCCCCCCUUGAAAAACAACCUUGUCCUCAAGGUUAGGAUUAGCACUUGAAAUCUGGAACUUUUUCGCAGUGAAUUCAUCAUAAGCCUCUUUGCUUUUAUUGUCUGACCAAGGCACUGCACCAAAACUUGGACUGCAAAAACCUUGGUUGAUAUCUGCAACCUAUCCCAGAUGCUGAAAAAAAAAAAAAAGAGAACAAGCUUUGGAGAUGACUCCCCGCGAAGCCUUGAUGUCUCAGCUGGAAAGAAUUUCUCCCCGUCAUGUGAUGUAUGCAGAUUAUCCCUUACAAUCAAUUCUGGACCUUCCAAGCUGAGUCUCCCUGAAACAGAUGGGAAAUUUAUUAGAAAAAUAGAUCAGCCCACAUGUGUGUAAUCUAUAUACAAAAAAUCACUCUCUUCAUUAGCCAAAUCGUUUCACAAAUCCCAAAACACAGAACUAUAUCUUGAACAGUGCUAAUUAAUGAUUUCCCAUUUACUUAAGCCCAACAUCAGCGCCAAUGAACUGAUGAAAGAGCGAAAAAGAGAAACAAAAAACCUCAAUGAAGCAAUUAAAUGGAGAAUUACUUGAUAGUGCUGGAAAAUUACUACAAAACGUUUGAAAAUUACCCAUUAAGAUUAUAAAAAAUUAAAAAAAAUUAAAAAAAAAAGAUGAUGUGGAGUGGAGUGGGAAUCACAUACCGCCAUCACCUUUAAAUAUGUAGUGCUCCCCUGAAAGAGCAUCAAGAGUGACUGUGCAGAGAAACGAAUGAUUGAAAAAUUCAAGCUCUGAGCUCAAAGUUGGGGCUUCCACUUUCCAACUGGGGAAGAAAUAAUAAAGAAAACACAGAAUCCAUCAAAAAUAUUAAUCAAAUGGGUUUCUUCUAAUUCAAAAUUUGGACCACCCAAAUUCUGAUGAAGAAAUAACCAUUCAAAAUUCCAACAGAUUGAAGCUCUCACAGACUACAAAUUAUCAAUACCCAGCAAUAAAAAAUUUGAAAACAGUAAUAAUGAAGGAAAAAGAAAUUAAAGCUGCGAGCCAUUCUCUAAAUCUCAGGCACCAAUCCAAAUCACCAGUAAUUUGCACAUAAUGAUAAGAAUCUAGCAGUAUUUCCAUUGUUUAAAACCCAAAUUCUAGAAAUCAUGAAAAAUGGAAACUUUAUAUGGAAAUUGAAGCUUUACCUGCAGAUUAGCAGCAGCAAACGAAUCCAACGGCAUAUACCUCAAAAGUGAGUGACAGAGAAAGAGAGAGCUAAGAGAUGAGUGAGAGAAUCGAUAAACAAAAACCCCCAUAACCACAAAAGGAAAUUUGAACAAAAACAAAUAUGCAAAUCCAAAAUCACAAAAACGAAAUGAAACACCCACACCGAGAAAGUUGUAAAACUCACCAGAAGCACAGUGCUUCCCAAAAUUCUAGUUGUUUCACUCCUCUCUUCCCCAAAUUUACAGGUAUGUUUUUCUUUUCUGUAAUCUGAUUAUAAAUUAUUAAAGAUGAUUACACGAACCACCGAAAUCACCACCAAAUUUCAACAAAGAAGUAACUAAGCACAACAAAAAGAAGAAGAAAAAAAAGGUUAAACUCUGUUUACUACCCUCAUGUUUCGUGGUUUUCAACAUUUAGUACAUCAAGUUUUUUUCGUCCCAGAGUCAUACCUAAAGUGUUAAUUUUGGAACAAUCUCAUACAUCUGUUAGUCAAACUGUUUAUUCUCCCGUUAAGUGAUGACGUGGCACCUAUAUGGACAAUGACUGGACUCCAGGUGUCAUUAAAUAUAUUAAAAUAAUUAAUUAAAUAAAAGUUUUAAAAAAAAAACCCAUCCCUCCUUCCCCCCUCCCCCAACCCAACCCAACCCAGAAGAAGAAAAAGGUGGAGGAAGAAAAGGGAGAAAAAGAAACCAAAUCUGGGAAGAAGAAGAAGGAAAAAAAAACCGAAUUUGGGAAGAAGAAGAAGAAGAAGAAGAAUGAGGAGGAAGAAGAUGAAGAAGACGAAGAAGAAGGAGGGAGAAGAAGAGAAAGAAGAGGAAGAAGAAGAAGAAGAAGAAGGAAGAAGAAGAAAAAAAAAACCGAAUCUGGGAAGAAAAAGAAGAAGAAGAAGAAAAAAAAAACCGAAUCUGGGAAGAAGAAGAAAGAAGAAGAAGAAGGAAGAAGAAGAGGAAGAAGAAGAAGGAGAAGGAGGAAGAAUGAUGAAGUAGAAGAAGAAGAAAAAAAAAACUGAAUAUGGGAAGAAGAAGAAGAAGAAGAAGAAGAAAAAGAAAAAAAACAGCAGCCCAAACCCAGUUCGUCCCCCUCCCCCCUGCAACCCACCUGCCUUCUCCCUCGUCCCGCGAACACGACCCACCUGUCUUCCUUCUUCUUCUUCUGGGUUACAAAUUCGAUUUUUUUUCUUCUUCUUCUUCUUCUUCUUCUUCUUCUUCUUCUAGGGGGGGCGGGGGAGAAGGAUGGGGUUUUUUUUUAAUUUAUAUUUAAUUAAUUAUUUUAAUUUUUUUUUAAUGAGACGUGGCACCCAGUCAUUGUCCACAUAGGCACCACGUUAUCACUUAAUGGGAUAAUUAACAGUUUGACUAACGGAUGUAUGAGACUGUCCCAAAAUUAACAUUUUAGGUAUGACUCUAGGAUGAAAAAAACUUGAUGUACUAAAUGUUGAAAACCACGAAACAUUAGGGUAGUAAACAGAGUUUAAUAAAAAAAAAUCAAAUAUUUGGCUUUUGGGUAUUUGAGAAAAAGUGAGAUUUAAUUACCUGUCACAGGCUACAGUAAUUGGGAGCACGAUGGGGCGGCGAGGAGAUUGAACAGAUAAGGAAGCAAAGAUCGAACAUAUAUCACGAAGCGGAAUCAAAAUCGUCAAUCGUGUUGCAGAGCACAGUUUUUUCCUUUUUGGAUUUCUGCGGUUUCUGAGGAAGAAGUCGAGAGACUUAUUGGACACCUAAGGUUAUAACCGACCUUUUAAUGUGUAAUGUACACAAAAAAGCAAGACUUGAAGAGCAACUGAAGGGCAAAAUGGGAAGAACAUUGUCGAAGGAACAGUGUUUCAGUUCUUUUUCUCUUUUAGUUAAUAUAAUAUAAUUGCUAUGCUAAAACCCAUAGUUCAGAGAAGAAUCUUGCAUGAUCACUAACAACGUAAGGGAAAAUCAAACUUUGUGUUGCUUGUUUUAUGAAUCUCUUUAUUUUUUAUUUCAAAUUUAUGAGUGUCUCACUUUUCCACAGUUUCUAAUCUGUUAUUGUUUUGGGAAAGUGGUUAAAAUGGUAUGAAAUCAUAUCUCAAUUCUCAAUUUCUGAACUUAUCAAAAUCAAAUAUCGACAACAUACUGAAAAAUUGAUAAUUUCAGUGAUUGGGUAAAAAAUGAUCAUUUUAGCCAAAUUCCCUCUUAUUUUCUGUUGUCGUAAUUUAGAUUGCAACUUUUGUAAGUUUUUCUGAUUUUGGUGUUGGUUUUUGUAGUUAAGUAUCAAGGAAUGUGUCAAGCCCCUAUUUGGACAUUCGUUUAGAAUCGACACGUGACGUCACCAAAUACCUGUACAUCUACCAUACCCUACUUCCAGGAUACGGGCCAAACACAACUCACGAUCCAAAAGCAUAGUAAUUUUUUUCGUAUACUUUAUGGCUGCAUCUAACCUCCUCAUUAGAUUGCCUACGUAUCAUAAACAGGGAUCAAGCCAUUCAUAGUUCGUCCUUCACUACCCUUGAACAAUCAUCACAUAAAUAAAUAUGUCUCAAUAUAAUACCUUCAUCCAUACCAUGUAACAUAUCAAAUAACAAACGAAGCACAGUAAUAUUCUCUAGUCAUGUUGCCAUUCACCCACACAUAUGUUUUCCAACACCAUCCAACAAUCACACCAAUCAAUAACACAUACAAUACAUCGACAUGCAGGGCUAAAGUGACAAAGUUCGGUCGAAACCUACAUCUCUAAAGCUGAAAUCGAAUCCAAGGAACCCAAACCACCCCUAGCUCGUCCCAUAUUCCUUCACGAGCCCAGAGCUUAAACUCGAGCAACUCUCGGACCUCACAUCAGAGAAAACAGGAAAUGGAGAACUACGACAAGUUCUCAAAUUCUUUCGACCGAGGUAAAACUCGAAAUACCUUCAAUCUCUACCCUUUUGAUGUUCUGAUUCAAUUUUUGAGUUGUAUACGUGUUGUGACGACGUUUAGGUGCAAAAAUCACUCGAGGAUGAACUCCCUAGUUUUCUGGCGAAGUCCGCAAGUUUCAGACCAUUUUUCUGGCCAAAACCUUUGGGCCAUUGUUCUAGCCCAACCCAACAACUCAGUCAACCUAAUCUAACCUAGCAAACCUGGCCUAACCUAGUGACCCGGAUCUGUGAAACCUGCCCAAGCCUAGAUUCGUGGGCCAGAUCCACCCUGGGAUCCGGCCCGACCCAAUUCCCAAAUGGAUUUGAAAUAUUCCAGAAUAUUCCAAGAAUAUUCUUUGGAAUAUUCCUUGUGUUGACUUUUAUGAUAUUUUCUCACGAACCUUCUUAGACUAAUUUCGACGCCUUGAGUCCGUUUUUGACAUCUAUUUAGUGAAAUUAUAAAGAUUUAAUAUGGUUGACCGGCUCGGUGUCUCGAUUCACUUUUUGGGUCAACUGUUGACUUUUCGUUGACUUUUUACAAAAUUUACCCGGGACUUCUCGUAGGGUAAUUCGACGCGCUGAUUCUGAAUCUGCUGUCUGUUUCUCCAAAUUCAAAUGUUUUAAUUAAGUUUUUACUAAUGGGCCUCUAUUAUGCUUAGGUACUCUUUAGCAUUGGCGAAUUCUUAUUUACAUGUCUGAAUGUCAGUAACCUUGCAAGUACCUGUGAGUGGACCCCUUCUCAAAUUGCAUGUUUUCAUAACUAUUAGGCUUGCAUUCAUGAAAAUAAUAUUUUUUAUAAUUCUACAUUUUAUGAAUUAUUUAUGCUUCAUAUUUGAUUUAUAUUGCUUUCACGAAGUCUUUAUGAAUUAUCUUAAUAGAUUUUGAAGAAUUAUUUAUAAUCCAUUGGUUUAAUGUUUAUGAGAACUCGUAUUUAUGGAAAUCACGUUUAUGGAUUUAUAAGAUUUGAGAUAUGUUUUAUAUACUUAUCUAGUGGGUUAUCAUACAACACAUACACACAACCUGACUAUGUAGACGUCUAUGGCCAUAGGACACAGUUGAGGAUAUUUAUGACAUACUCCCAGCUUUACUGGCGAAACCAGUGUCGGACAACUUUAAUAGCCACGGCUAGUGUCGGUAUGUUAUGUUUAUAGUUAUAUUUUCUUCUCUCGCGUAACCCAGAGUCGUAUAGCUUCACCUUCGGGUGAUGGGACCUACCAUGUUUCUUCACCGGCAUAACCUAGAGUCGUACAACUUCACCUCCAGGUGAUGAUUAUGCCUUCGGGCGACUAUGAUACCCCUAGUUGAGUAUAUCACAGAGUUUAUUUACGAGAUUCUCAUAUCUGCCUUCGGGUGUUACUAUCGAUUUCCAAAGAGGAUUUUAUCGUUACAAAAUUUUUAGCAUGCUAGAGUUUCCAAAAAAACUAUUAUGUAGUAUUAUAUGGGUUUUCAAAACAGAGAGUUAAUAUGUUCAGAAAAAGAAAACGUUUUUUGUAUUAUUACUACUAUUAUUAUAAAUUAUCGUCCACUUACCCUUUCAUUCUUGCGCCCCCUUCAGGAUUUAGAAUCGAGACGUACGAUCCCGGCGUCAGGGCACUUCCGUAUAGGUAUCUUUGAGUCUUCUCAGUGUAUGGCCCAUUUCCCUUGUUCGUGCCUUUUUAUAAUUAUUCUUUCACAUUAUUCUUGCUUAGUUGUAGGCUCUGAACACGUUUCCUUAAUUGCGUAUUUCUUUAUAGUUACAUAUUUUAGUCACUUUUGUUUACUGAUACCACUUGCAUGCAUGUUAAAAUGGCUUCGUCACCUUUAGGUGUCAGCCAGCAUGUGCCUACCCUAGUAUUCGAGGAUAUCGGGGUUGGGGCAUGUCAGCCUGGGUGGUCGUAGGUGCACAGGGGCGCGCGUGGGCCAUCAGACCUUGGGCCUGCGCUGCGUGCUGGGCUAGUGCUUGCUCUUCAUGGGUCUGGGCCUAGCUAGUAGUGAGUUGGGCUCGACUGGUAACGAGCUGGUCCUUAGUCGUCUGCCCAUGGGUUCUUUUUGCUGGUUGGCCAGCUCUGCUGGUCUUCCGUGCACCUGGACCUGCUGCAGUGGCUUAGGCCUCAUUCCCUGGGCCUAAUAUGGCAGCUGUCACGUUUUCGACCUCUUACAUGUGGUUCGUGAGCCCCUGUUUCAACGUAGUUGGCCAUUUGUAGCACGCGCUUGGGCCUCGGCUUAGGCUGCUACUAUGAAAUCACAUUCUUGGAUUUCACUAUUAUAAUUUCCAUGUUUUGUAUUCGCGAAAUUUUAUAUUAUUUUUUGCAAAUUUAAUUUAAUUUAGUUAAUUUAGAAUUUUAAUUCCUUAGUUACAAAGUUUGAAAUUUUGAAAAGAAUCAUUUAAAAUUUGUAGACCUUUCAAGUUCAAAAUUAAUGUUUUCAAAAAAGAUCAAUCAUACGAACGUGUAGGCAAAAGCCGUUCACGAACGGAGCUAUAACAAAGUUAUGAGUGACGAAAGUUGGAGAUAAAUGUUAAUUUAGGAAUUUCUCUAAAUGAAAACUUACUAUUUUUAUUUGGAAGAGGGACCAAUCAGAUUGGGGAAAAGCCCAUUUAAUGGGAGGAUGGACUAAUCAGAAAUGGGAGGAAGGUUGACCAAUCAGAAAAGAUAGAACCAACAGAGCCGAAUCCUCCCUCAACCCGCAGGACCCGGUUUCUGGCGACUUUUGCUUCCUUUUUUUUGUCAAUUUUUCGACGAGUUGGAGACAUCCAUCACCACCACAUGACUCAUCAACCUCCCCUCUUCAAUUCUCACCUAAACUCAACUCAGUUUUACUCUAAUUUCAUGAUGAACUCCUUCGGCGAGUUCAUGAGUCCUGCAUUGGUGAUCUGCCAUUUUUUAAAGUUAUUUUUUUUACCACCACCACCCACAAACACCCUUUAAGCCCAGGAACAUGACCCAAACAAGUUUGGGGUGAACAGAGCAACGAAGAGGAUGAAUCAAAGUGCACCAUUUUUAGGGUUUUCCGAUGGAUCGUGGUAUUAUCAGGCCUUAGACCUCGACCCAUGUAUAAAACUUACUCCCUUCUUCAAGAUCUUUAUUUUGGUAUAAUUUGAGAAAUUUUGGAGUUAGGUGAAUUUUCGAACAAAUCGGGGCGGUCAACCACCUCGUGCGGCAGCGCGUGCUGGUGGCGCAUAGCUCGAGGACCCAUUUGGUCCUUCUUGAGUACAUUUGAUGCCCAAUUCCAUAUUUGAUAUCUGAUUGAAAAAAAUUUGUCGCUUGAACAUAUUUUCGUUAGGGUCCGCCACUUGAAUAUUGUAACUUUGAGAUGUGGAGGCAAUUGAAGAUUAGAGUUUGAUUAUCAAGGAAAUGGAAACAGGCUUCAAGCUUGGUUUGAGAUGUGGAGGCAACUGCUGAUACAUAUAUGUUUGGAUGCUAUGUUUAGAAUUAUUUAAUUUUGCAUUGACAUGGUUAAAAUUCUAGAAGAAAAAAAAUGAGAAAUUUCCUUGUUAUGAUGUUCAAGAUAUGAACUGUGAUAGCCACAACUAUUAUGUCAUAUUUUAGAAGGAAUACUUUUUGCCUUUAGCAACAUUUUUAUUUUGUUGAAAAGAAGGAAGAAAGAUGCUAUUUGUGGCAUUUGUUAUGCUAUUUGUUUCAUAGGAAAUCUGGAAAAAUCUACCAAAAAUCCCUCCAAUUUUUUUUCGUCAGCAAAAUCAAUUCCAAAAGAAAGAUUAAUGAGGCUUUCAAAAAAAUUUUAAAAAAAUUAAAAUGCUCAAAGUCCAAGAAUUCUCACCAAUUUAUUUUAGUCAUUAAAAUUAUACUUAAUGAGGUUUCCAAAAUUCUAGGCACAUUAAAAACAAUAUAAGGGCAAAUUUGGAAAUCAAAUUAAAAUAAUUAAAAUAGAUAAAUCAGAAAUAUAGGAGUGUGGAUUGAGAUUUUGAGGGUGUCAAUAACAGCUACCUAUGCAAUUUUGUUGGUUAUUAUGUACUAAAAUAUAUAAAUACAAAUAUAUAUAGGGAACUGUUAUUAUCACUCCAAAAAUUUUAUUCUACACUCCUCAUAAGUGUAUUUUUUUUUUUAAUUAUAGAAAGUUUGGAGUGUCAAAUGAGAUUUUUUGAGUGUCUAUAUAUAUAUUGUUGAUGCACAAAACCGGAGGUCUUGGAACAACGUAAAUCCGACCGUGAAUCUGCAUAAAAUGUAAAUAACACAAGAUGUAUCGUGGUUCACCCCAAGGUUUGGGCUACGUCCACAUUGAUAGUUGAUUCUGUUUCUCUGUAAUUGUAUGGAUACAAGUGUUUGGGGGAAGUCCCCCGGAGGAGAAAGAAGAGAAGGGAGAGGAGAGCCUCGGUGGUGUGAGGUCUCUCCUGAAUGUAAUGAUAGCUUCUCUUAGCCUUCUUAGGCUUGGCUCUUUUGCCUCCUUUAGAAUGAGGGUAGGAGUCCCCUUUUAUAGAAUAAGGGGCUCCUCCUCUUUUACAAAGUAUGGGCUUUAGUGUGAGGCCCAAAUACAAGGCCCAAGGCCCAAAUAUACGAGGCCCUAAAUAUGGUAUAAACAUAUAUAUAUUUGUUAAAUAGUUUUUUUUUUAUUUUUUUUAUUUUUGGAAAAUAAUUUAUAACGGGCAUUAGCUGUGGUCAAUUAGUAAUCGACAAUGGUCAUAGCAUGUGGUGUUAAACCCCAAUCCACCAAGGGUACAAUCCAUGGUUAUAUUGCAAUUGACAACGGGUAUAGCCUGUCGUAGAAACUGAGACUUUUUAUUACAUCUAGAAUACUAAUGAACACAGUAUCCGUGGUGGAUUGUAAUUUAUCACGGGUAGGUGUAGUAUUGGUACAAUUACCAUACCAAAACCCAUGUACCAACCUUAUGAUAUGACAAAAUCUAUUACCAUUACCGUGCCAAACUUUCGGUAUACCGAAUUUCGGCAUGCCAAAUAGUUUGAUCGGCAUGGUAUGGUGAUGAUAAUUACCACUUUGUUUUGGGCCAAAAUUUGAUUUUCUUUUUCUUUUUCUUUUUCCACCCAAUUCAAGGCCCAAACGUGUUUUGGCCACUUUUUUUGGCUUUCUAAAACUUUUUAAUUUAAUUAUGAGAAUUUUAUAGAGAUUCAUUUAAGAAACAAGAAGUAAAUAAAUAGAAGAAUUGCUGAAAGAACCCAACAUCCCAGAAAAAAAAUACCUCAAAGAUUCUUAAAUUCCAUUUCUACAUUAUUUAAAAUUGUACAAAAAUUAACUUGAUAGACGAAGCUAGGGAGAAAGACAUCUCAAUUUGAUGAAGGAGAAGAUGAGAUGGAUUGCGAAGAGAGAGAAUCUUCGGAACGGGAGCAACAUAGAUGAAGCUGAUGGCUAGAUGAGAGAAAAAAUGAAGAGUCGCAGAAUAAGAAGGCUUAUGUUUUUUAUUGGGAAAGUAGAGGCUAAACGGUGAGAUGAUUUGAUAAAUGACUAGGAAAAAAAUAUAUAAAAUGCAUACAUAAUGAUAAUAAUACAUAAUUAUAUAUAAAAAUGAAUAAAUAAACGGUAUAAUAUUAAUAGUGGUGGUACGGUAGGGUAUACCAUUGGUAAUAGUUUUAAGUAUCAAUAUUGUACCGAAAAUGUAUGGUACGGUAUAAAUACCGUACCAUUACCAAUGGUACAAAUUUUUUGGCACAACUUCUGUAUGGUAGGGUUGGUAAUUCGGUUAGUAUGGUAAUUUGGCAAAAAAUUUCAUCCCUCACAGGCAUUCAUCUAGAUAGAUGAACUUUUUUUUCCUAAUGUGUACCACUUAUGUUAUGAGCAUAAAGAAAAAUUUCUCUGAACAAGGAGCAAGUGGGAAUAAUAAAUCUGAACUAUAGCACGUACACGUAGAUAACAAGACGAGGAAAAGCAUCGAGGCAACGUUCUCCGAGAAGCUUUCAGGAACAAGAUCCGUUGACGACGAAGUAGACUUUCCUGUGCAUAGUCGACUUGGUGGGAAGUUUCCUCGUGGGGCCAUUUGAUUGGUGGGACAAAGACGUCCGUAAUUAUAAUUAUAAUGAUAGGAUUGAUUCCUCUACUCUAGAUUGAAUUGGAGCUGAAUGAUUGAAUUUGUAAGGCCCUGAUUGGGGGGAUUCCUCAUUGGUCAUCAUGGCUUUGAUUGAUUAAAUGGACAUAUAGCUAGCUUGAAUUGGAACUGAAUGAUUGCACUUAAACGGUCCUGAUUGGGCGGACUCCUCUUUGGUCAUCAUGGCUCUGAUUGAUAUCAGUAUAAAGAAAGACAUUGACCAUUCUGGUUUCCAACUCUCUCCAUCUACUGUUUUUGAGCAGAUCGGCUAAAGCUUGAAGAUGAACAAGUUGAUAAAGUUUGUUUAUUUUGUGUUUUUGAUUGAGUGUUUGAAUCGGUUUCUUUUUGGUAGGAUAGUAGAGAAAUUGAAAAAGAUAACUUGGAGAUUGGUUUCUGCUAUGCAAAUAAUGCAGCAGCCUUGAUUGAAUAAGAAGAGUGAUUUUUACACAAGAGUAUGGUGCAUUUCCAUCACCCAUACUUUCUACAAAAGGUGAUUGACAAGAGGCCUUAACAACCAUUAAGCCUUACUACUCCAGAUUACAUCUUAACCCUUCAUUUUGGGGUUAAAUGAUUUAAUCUGGAGUGUACAUUUGUCACUCACACACUUACACAAACAUUUAAAAACAAAACUAGCCGUUGGAGACUAGAACCCUUCAUUUUCUUUCUUCUUCUUCGAUGCAGAUGACAUCCUUUUGCUCGGGAGUAUCUUGCUGCCUUCGACUCCCCGACUCCAGGAGCUGGUUAGCUUCCAACACUCCCUUCUAAACUGCUUCUGGGAGUCAAUCCGAGCAAACCCCUCAGGUAAUUGAAUCUCUCCUUCGGUAGUGCUUUUGUGAAUAUGUCUGCGAUCUGAUCUUCUGUGCUGCAAUAGAUUAGCUUGAUUGUGUUGUCUUGCAAUGCUUCUCUGAUGAAAUGAUAUCUUCUCUUGAUGUGUUUUGUUCUCUGAUGAAAUACUGGGUUUUUAGUCAUGGCAAUUGCAGAGGUGUUGUCACACAGAAGUGGUGUGGCUUCAACUUGCAAUUCGCCAAAAUCUUUAAGUAUGAACCUUAGCCAAAUGGCUUGAGAUGUAGCUUCUGAUGCACUUACAUACUCUGCCUCGGCUGUGGACAGUGCAACACUUUGUUGCUUCACAGAGGCCCAUGAAAAAACCCCUGAUCCGAAAGUGAAAGCAUAGCCCGAUGUGCUUCUACUAUCAUCCUCACUGCCACCCCAGUCACUGUCACAGAAUCCAAUUAGAAUAGAUGACUUUCCCAUCUCAUAUUUGAUCCCAUAAUCAAGAGUUCCUUGCACAUAUCUUAGCACUCUCUUAGCCGUGCCCAUAUGUAUCUUGCUAGGAUUCUGCAUAAACCUAGAAAGUAGGCUUGCUGAGAACAUCAGAUCCGGCCUUGUUGCUGUUAGAUACAAUAGACUGCCAACAAUGCUUUUAUAGAGACUAGCAUCUGCAGGUUCACUUCCAUCCUCCUUCUUGAGCUUCUCAUUUGCAAUUAAGGGUGUAGAAAACUGGUUUGCAACCUUUCAAACCAAACUUUUCAAGCAAAGUUUCAGCAUACUUCUUUUGAUGAAUAAAAAUGCUACUUGCUUUUUGAAUUACCCCAAUGCCAAGAAAAUGAUGCAAGAGGCCUAGGUCAGUCAUCUCGUACCUCUUCAUCAUUUCUUCCUUGAACUCUUCCAUCAUUGCAGCAUCAUUUCCAGUGUAGACAACAUCAUCCACAUAGAUUGAGACAAUGAGUGUCUUGUUGUUGCUUUCUGUCUUGGUGUAGAGUGUAGCUUCACUAGGACUUUUCUGAAAUCCUUUCUCAAUGAAAUAUGAAUCAAUCUCACUGUACCAAGCUCUUGGAGCUUGUUUUAGGCCAUAAAGAGCCUUCCUCAACUUGUACACUUUUUCUGGAAACUCUUGAUUUGUGAACCCUUGAGGUUGUUCCACAAACACUUCCUCCUCUAGCACUCCAUUUAGAAAUGCAGAUUUAACAUCCAAUUGAUGCAACUUCCAACCCUUCUUGGCUGCUAGUGCUAUCAAGGUCCUUAUGGUGUCUAACCUUGCUACUGGAGCAAAGGUUUCAUUGAAGUCUACACCAGGUUUCUGUGAGUAACCUUUGGCCACUAACCUGGCCUUGUUCUUUUGCACAGAACCAUCUAGAUUUAGCUUCACUUUGUACACCCAUUUUACACCAAUCACAGGCUUCUCACUUGGUCGAUUUACAAGUUCCCAAGUGUCAUUCUUUUCUAUCAUUUCAAGCUCUUCCUUCAUUGCUUUCUUCCAAGCUUUGUCUUUCUCAGCUUCUUCAUACGUUUCUGGUUCUACUACACAGUAAUUACAUGUAGCAUAAAUCUCAUCCAGAUUUCUCAAUCUUACUGGAGUUGAACUAGGAGUUGUUGUCUGUGAUUGACUUGAUUGUGGACUCAUAGUAGCUUGCUGUGGAGUCCCUUGUAUGUCACCAUUAUCUGUGACUUCUUCUUGAACUGAGGUCUCUAUAGGCUCCCUUGUUUGCCUUUUGUUUAGGUCAAUUUGUAGAGAGACACUGUCCUUUUCCUCUACCAUUGUAUCCCAGUUCCACAUUGAGUCUUCAUCAAAGAUAAUAUCCCUUGAUAGGAUUAUCUUUUGAGUCAAUACAUUAUAAACUCUGUAUCCUUUCUCACUGGUACCAUAGCCUACAAAAACACCCUUGUUACUUGAUUUCUCCAACUUGUGCCUUAGUUGAUGAGGGAUGAGAUUGUAGCAUACUGAGCCAAACACUCUCAGAUGCUUCACAGAAGGCUUCCUUCCACUGAACACUUCAAAUGGAGUCUUCUUCUCCAAUGCCUUAGUAGGACACCUAUUCAAUAGAUACACUGAGGUGUGUUCACAGCUUCACCCCAAAAUUUAUAAGGCAUGUUCUUCUCAUGCAUCAUAGACUUAGCCAUUUCGACUAUAGUCCUAUUCUUCCUUUCUGCAAUCCCAUUCUGUUGUGGUGUAUAUGCCACAGUGAGUUGCUUCUCUAACCCUACAUCUUCACAAAAUACAUUGAACUCAUGUGAGGUGUACUCACCACCCCUAUCACUUCUUAGUCUUUUGAUUUGGUAUCCACUUUGCAAUUCCACCAUUGCCUUAAACUUCUUGAAUAUUGUGAAUACCUCAGACUUGAACCUCAUGAAAUACACACCACACAUCCGUGAAUAAUCAUCAUCAUGAAGGUUAGGAAAUACCUGUUUCCACUGAUUGUUGUUGUUCUCAUUGGUCCACACACAUCUGAGUGAAUCAAUUCGAGUGGCUUUGUUGCCCUCCAAGCCUUUCCAGCUUCAAAUGAAUCUCUGUGAUGCUUGCCAAACACACACCCUUCACAGAUUUCAUUGCAUUGAUCCAUUUUUUGGUAUACCUUGCACCAUUUCAUCCUUUUGCAGAUUUUGUAAGCUUGUCAUGUUUAAAUGACCAAGUCUCUUGUGCCAUAGUUUCAUAGAACUUGUCACACUUGCUUUCUUUGCCACUUCUUCUAAGUACUUCAGUACAAGUGGAAAGCUUCUGUUUUUCACUUCCACUUUGGUCACCAAGUUUGAUAGGGAUCUGUCAUCAUAGAUCUCAACCACAGUCCCCCCAAAGAGUAGGAAAUAGCCAUGCUCCAUCAUUUGACCCACACUAAGUAGAUUCUCAUCCAAUCCAGGCACUAGCAUCACCUCCCUUAUACAUCUUCUUCCUUUCUUGGUGUUGAUAACCAGAGUUCCUCUUCCAGUGGCUUUGACAAUGUUUCCAUCACCCAUUUUCACUUUUCCAGUGAAGUUUGUGUCGAUGUCAAUAAGUAAAGACUCAUGUGCAGUCAUGUGGUUGCUGCAGCCACUGUCAAUGUACCACACUUCAUUGUUUCUCUCCAUUUUUGCAUUGAAAGCACAGAACACAUUUGCUUCUUCUUCCACUUGAUUUGCACAGUUUACUUGUUGCACAUUCUUUGAUCUGCAGUCCUUCAUAAUGUGCCCAAACCUGUUGCAUUUGUGGCAUCUAGGCUUGUCCUUGAACCAACACUCUCCAAGGUGGAAUUUAUCACAGUGCUUACAUUGCUGCUUGGUUCUUGGACCUACAUUGGUGUUGCUGCCUUGGUUAGGUCUUGAGUUGUGAUACCCUUUUCCUUCCCAUUUCUUGCUUUUGCCCUUCCACUGUGGUUUCUGAUUGCUUGCACUGGCUUGACUGCUAGAUCCAACAUUGAGUGUUUGAAAGGCUUUCUCAGGUGCAGAGUCAGCAUGCCUCUCGAGCCUUUGAUCAAAAGCUCUUAAGGAUGCCAUCACCUCUUGUACACUGAGUGUUUCAGUGUCUUUGGUUUCUUCUAUAACACUCACUAUUGAAUCAUAGGGUUUAGUCAAACUAAUCAACAGUUUUUGGACAAUUCUUUCAUUAGGCAGUUCCUCACCAUAUGUUUUCAUCUUGUUUACAACAUCAUCAAACAGCCUAGUGAAGUAGUCUUUUAACAGCUCAUUUUUCCCUCAUUCUUGUAUACUCAAAAUCUCUUCUAAGGGACUGAAGUUUUACCUUUCUAACUUUGGUGUCUCCUCUGUAUUCUUGCUGUAAAACUUCCCAAGCUCCCUUUGCAGUCUCUUCAUUUGCUAUCCUCGGAAAAAUGGUGUUGUCUGAGACAGCACCUUGAAUGAUUCCAAGUGCUCUAGCAUCCUCCAUCCGAUUCUGCUUCAGUGUUUUGAGUUGUGUUUCUGUGAGAUCCUCCUCUAGAGCAUCGAUCUCCAUCUCAGGUAGUUCAUACCCAUGUUGAACCAUAUAUCCCAUAGAUCAUAGGAUUUGAAAAUGGUUGUCAUUCUUAUUCUCCAAAAAUCAUAAUUCUCCCCAUCAAAGACUGGAGCUUUUAGCUCACUGCUACUGCUGGAUCCUUUCAUUUCCAGAAUUGUUUGUUGAUUAUUGUUAUAGAAGACACUACGUUGGUGCUCCCAAAGAUCUUAUCUUGCACAGAUUACGCCCCGAAAGUUGUAAGAUCAAUAACAAAGCUCUGAGGCCAUGAUAAAGUUUGUUUAUUUUGUGUUUUUGAUUGAGUGUUUGAAUCGGUUUCUUUUUGGUAGGAUAGUAGAGAAAUUGAAAAAGAUAACUUGGAGAUUGGUUUCUGCUAUGCAAAUAAUGCAGCAGCCUUGAUUGAAUAAGAAGAGUGAUUUUACACAAGAGUAUGGUGCAUUUCCAUCACCCAUACUUUCUACAAAAGGUGAUUGACAAGAGGCCUUAACAACCAUUAAGCCUUACUACUCCAGAUUACAUCUUAACCCUUCAUUUUGGGGUUAAAUGAUUUAAUCUGGAGUGUACAUUUGUCACUCACACACUUACACAAACAUUUAAAAACAAAACUAGCCGUUGGAGACUAGAACCCUUCAUUUUCUUUCUUCUUCUUCGAUGCAGAUGACAUCCUUUUGCUCGGGAGUAUCUUGCUGCCUUCGACUCCCCGACUCCAGGAGCUGGUUAGCUUCCAACACAAGUAAGUCAACUUCAAACUCCUCGUAUCCUUAUUUUUCUUUGAAUCCUUUGUCGUUGAUUGAUCUUAUACUGUCUUGAUUAAGCAGACAUUGUUCUGAAAUGGCUGAAGGGUGUUUUUCAACAAGUAAAAGCUCUUACGGUUAAAUCUGGCAAAAGAAACUUACAAAACGCUUUUAGAUAGUGUAAGCUCUUUUCGGAGAAGCACUUGCUAUGGCUAGACUUUUACCAAACACAAUUUUAGCUCCAACUUUUCUAAAAACUGUUUUUAAAAAUAAAAUUGAGCAACCUCAGACCCGCCCAUGUCAACAUUCAAGUUUUCAAGUGCUUUUUCAAAGAGCACUUGAGUAUUUAAUAAACAUGUCUAAUCUGUUCAUAGUAAAAGAGAACUGCUUAUGAGUAGAGUGUUUCUUACGAGUACAAUGGCUUUAUAAUCGUCCUUAUAAUUUACCCAUGUGGAAUUUCAUUCUUACUAGUGUUUUGCUAAAGUGACUUCACUAGAAAUACGGCGAAAGUUCUUUAGAAAACACUUCUCCUACUCGUAUACAUUUUUAAGUUUUUCUUUCAAUAUAAUGAAAAACAUUUUUUAUCGUUAGAUUGACAUUGUUAGCUAUUUCAAAAGCAGUUUCAAACGUGUUUAUUAUUAUAUGGUUGGGUGUUAUUUGCUUACAUACUCCAUUUAACUUUGUUUCAAUAUUUUGUUGGUGAUGACAGUAUUAGCAGUGCUGGGCUUGAACUAGAAAAUGUGCUGGUGACUUCUCCUCCCCUGCACCAGUCAUGGGACGCUGUUCAGAAGCAAAAGCUCAACACAGCUCCUGAUCCGAAUGCACAAACGGCCUUAUAUGUUACUGAAACCAAGCACUCAAACACCACCAUCAUAUCUUUUCUUACUUCACCCGUCACACUUCAAGAUCAACAAGCGAUGAUUUCGUCGUUGACUCUCAGGGACAAAAAAUUUCCCCUCUUUGAGUUUUUGUGCACCAAAUACAACACAAGUUUCACCGUCAAUGAUUUGGCAAUCAAAUUCUUCGCCUUGAAUUACGACAACCUCAACCUCGAUCUUCUGAGAACAAAGGUGCAUAUUGUUGUCUCUCUGAUAACUGAUAGUGUUUAACCGCUUAGACUAUUAAUGUUAGUGAGAAACAUUUAAAAAUCAUGUUUAUAAUGUUAGAUUAUGUUAGCGUGAUACACAUACAAACCCCUCAUUAAUACUGUUAUAAGGGUGCAUUUGUUAUCUCGGACUUGACUAGCUUGCUUGGUUUGGACUAUGCAGGAUAAGAAUAGUGGGCUCAAACAAUUAAUUUCAAUUUUCUUUUAAUUUUUUUACUUCUCCCUCCACCUGUUACACACCUCACUCAAUAAAAUGUCCUACGAACACC